CAGCUCUAGGCGGUGGAUCACU
Molecule: ribosomal RNA, 22 nt
Filed under: Meretrix lamarckii (Korean hard clam)
Lineage: Eukaryota; Metazoa; Mollusca; Bivalvia; Venerida; Veneridae
Description: partial 5.8S ribosomal RNA
Source: RNAcentral